GGUAUAACUUAGUGGCAGACGGGUGAGUAAUGUAUAGGAAUCUACCUAGUAGUACGGAAUAAUUGUUGGAAACGGCAACUAAUACCGUAUACGCCCUACGGGGGAAAAAUUUAUUGCUAUUAGAUGAGCCUAUAUUAGAUUAGCUAGUUGGUGGAGUAAUAGCCUACCAAGGCAAUGAUCUAUAGCUGAUCUGAGAGGAUGAUCAGCCACACUGGAACUGAGAUACGGUCCAGACUCCUACGGGAGGCAGCAGUGGGGAAUAUUGGACAAUGGGCGAAAGCCUGAUCCAGCUAUGCCGCAUGAGUGAAGAAGGCCUUUGGGUUGUAAAGCUCUUUUAGUGAGGAAGAUAAUGACGGUACUCACAGAAGAAGUCCUGGCUAACUCCGUGCCAGCAGCCGCGGUAAUACGGAGAGGGCUAGCGUUAUUCGGAAUUA
Molecule: ribosomal RNA, 434 nt
Filed under: Wolbachia pipientis
Lineage: Bacteria; Pseudomonadati; Pseudomonadota; Alphaproteobacteria; Rickettsiales; Anaplasmataceae
Description: bacterial SSU rRNA
Rfam family: Bacterial small subunit ribosomal RNA
Source: RNAcentral